RNAcentral lists this ribosomal RNA (884 nucleotides) under uncultured Staphylococcus sp. RNAcentral's name for it is "bacterial SSU rRNA". It matches the Rfam family "Bacterial small subunit ribosomal RNA", at positions 28 to 893 of the family's 1533-position model. Lineage: Bacteria; Bacillati; Bacillota; Bacilli; Caryophanales; Staphylococcaceae. The record is from RNAcentral.
GAUGAACGCUGGCGGCGUGCCUAAUACAUGCAAGUCGAGCGAACGGACGAGAAGCUUGCUUCUCUGAUGUUAGCGGCGGACGGGUGAGUAACACGUGGAUAACCUACCUAUAAGACUGGGAUAACUUCGGGAAACCGGAGCUAAUACCGGAUAAUAUUUUGAACCGCAUGGUUCAAAAGUGAAAGACGGUCUUGCUGUCACUUAUAGAUGGAUCCGCGCUGCAUUAGCUAGUUGGUAAGGUAACGGCUUACCAAGGCAACGAUGCAUAGCCGACCUGAGAGGGUGAUCGGCCACACUGGAACUGAGACACGGUCCAGACUCCUACGGGAGGCAGCAGUAGGGAAUCUUCCGCAAUGGGCGAAAGCCUGACGGAGCAACGCCGCGUGAGUGAUGAAGGUCUUCGGAUCGUAGAACUCUGUUAUUAGGGAAGAACAUAUGUGUAAGUAACUGUGCACAUCUUGACGGUACCUAAUCAGAAAGCCACGGCUAACUACGUGCCAGCAGCCGCGGUAAUACGUAGGUGGCAAGCGUUAUCCGGAAUUAUUGGGCGUAAAGCGCGCGUAGGCGGUUUUUUAAGUCUGAUGUGAAAGCCCACGGCUCAACCGUGGAGGGUCAUUGGAAACUGGAAAACUUGAGUGCAGAAGAGGAAAGUGGAAUUCCAUGUGUAGCGGUGAAAUGCGCAGAGAUAUGGAGGAACACCAGUGGCGAAGGCGACUUUCUGGUCUGUAACUGACGCUGAUGUGCGAAAGCGUGGGGAUCAAACAGGAUUAGAUACCCUGGUAGUCCACGCCGUAAACGAUGAGUGCUAAGUGUUAGGGGGUUUCCGCCCCUUAGUGCUGCAGCUAACGCAUUAAGCACUCCGCCUGGGGAGUACGACCGCAAGG